This 885-nucleotide ribosomal RNA is filed under the name Bacillus altitudinis. RNAcentral describes it as "bacterial SSU rRNA". It matches the Rfam family "Bacterial small subunit ribosomal RNA", at positions 1 to 869 of the family's 1533-position model. The record is from RNAcentral. Lineage: Bacteria; Bacillati; Bacillota; Bacilli; Caryophanales; Bacillaceae.
CUAAGARKUUUGKWWUCWGGCUCAGSACGAACGCUGGCGGCGUGCCCUAAUACAUGCAAGUCGAGCGGACAGAAGGGAGCUUGCUCCCGGAUGUUAGCGGCGSACGGGUGAGUAACACGUGGGUAACCUGCCUGUAAGACUGGGAUAACUCCGGGAAACCGGAGCUAAUACCGGAUAGUUCCUUGAACCGCAUGGUUCAAGGAUGAAAGACGGUUUCGGCUGUCACUUACAGAUGGACCCGCGGCGCAUUAGCUAGUUGGUGAGGUAACGGCUCACCAAGGCGACGAUGCGUAGCCGACCUGAGAGGGUGAUCGGCCACACUGGGACUGAGACACGGCCCAGACUCCUACGGGAGGCAGCAGUAGGGAAUCUUCCGCAAUGGACGAAAGUCUGACGGAGCAACGCCGCGUGAGUGAUGAAGGUUUUCGGAUCGUAAAGCUCUGUUGUUAGGGAAGAACAAGUGCAAGAGUAACUGCUUGCACCUUGACGGUACCUAACCAGAAAGCCACGGCUAACUACGUGCCAGCAGCCGCGGUAAUACGUAGGUGGCAAGCGUUGUCCGGAAUUAUUGGGCGUAAAGGGCUCGCAGGCGGUUUCUUAAGUCUGAUGUGAAAGCCCCCGGCUCAACCGGGGAGGGUCAUUGGAAACUGGGAAACUUGAGUGCAGAAGAGGAGAGUGGAAUUCCACGUGUAGCGGUGAAAUGCGUAGAGAUGUGGAGGAACACCAGUGGCGAAGGCGACUCUCUGGUCUGUAACUGACGCUGAGGAGCGAAAGCGUGGGGAGCGAACAGGAUUAGAUACCCUGGUAGUCCACGCCGUAAACGAUGARUGCUAAGUGUUAGGGGGUUUCCGCCCCUUAGUGCUGCAGCUAACGCAUUAAGCACUC